GAGCACCCUCUGGCACUGGCCAGGAUGAGGAGCCAUCUACCUCCUCAGCCACACAGGCCUCUUCAGAAAUGAUCUCAGAUCCUCAGGAUGAGGAGCCAUCUACCUCCUCAGCCACACAGGCCUCUUCAGAAAUGAUCUCAGAUCCUCAGGAUGAGGAGCCAUCUACCUCCUCAGCCACACAGGUCUCUUCACAAAUGUUGUCUGAGCCUGAGGAUGAAGACCCACUUGCUUCCAUUUCUCCCCAGCAGGAUUCUUCAGUCAAUGGGCUGCAGUGCUAUGGCUGUAACAUCAUCCAGGGCCAGAGGUACGUGGACAUUGGAUGCUCUAACCCAGAGGUCAUCACCUGCACCCACUCACACAAGGGCUUCAAACAUCGCUUCUGCAUCAAGACAGAGAGCACAGCCCUGGGAAUUGUCCUGACCAGUGGAUGUGCCACAUCAAGACACUGCCAGCAACAAGAGCUGCCUGGAGUGCGCAUCCACUGCUGCACCUCAGACCUGUGUAACAGCACCCCCUGCUGUCGAGCGAGCACAUUGCAUUACAUCUACGCACUGGGAAGCUUGCUGCUGCUGAGGUUGUGGUUGUGAUAUGAGGUCACACAACUUGUACUUGGACAGAUGGAACUCUGGAUAAACCAUCUAUGAAUGACACUGUACAUGGCUAGUUCUCAGUGUCUCUUCUCAGCUCCAUGUGUUAAGGGUCUGAGACUGAGAGGAGGGUUGUACAAUACUGUACAUCAGAGCAGGUUUUGUGAAGAUGAAUUUUCGCUGGGCUUCUUAUCCCAAUGUCAGAAACAAAGGAAAAUAACUAAGCCAAGGUUCCCAUAAUUCAUUAUUAUGAUGAUUUUAUAAAGUUAUUAAAUCAGUUCAGGAAGUGUCCCAGAGAGUAAUGUUCAUUUAAAACCAUCAGUAUGGCUAGCAAUGGCUGUAUGGCUUUCUAAGAUGCACGUUGCAUGUGGCUU
This 961-nucleotide long non-coding RNA is filed under the name Salmo salar (Atlantic salmon). RNAcentral's name for it is "lncRNA (ENSSSAG00000095742.1, ENSSSAG00075017583.1)". Lineage: Eukaryota; Metazoa; Chordata; Actinopteri; Salmoniformes; Salmonidae. The record is from RNAcentral.